Taeniopygia guttata (zebra finch) is the source of this 431-nucleotide non-coding RNA. NCBI's taxonomy places the organism in Eukaryota, Metazoa, Chordata, Aves, Passeriformes, Estrildidae. The record is from RefSeq and is a predicted model, not a curated record.
GCUGAUCCCAGCUCCAGGAUAAUCCCAGCUCUAGAUUGAUUCCAGCUCUAGGUUGAUCCCAGCUCUAGAUUGAUCCCAACUCCAGGCUGAUCCCAGGUCCAGGCUGAUCCCGGCUCCAGGCUGAUCCCAGCUCCAGGUUGAUCCCAGCUCUAGAUUGAUCCCAGCUCCGGGUUGAUCCCAGCUCUAGAUUGAUCCCGGCUCCAGGAUGAUCCCAGCUCUAGGUUGAUCCCAGCUGCAGGUUGAUCCCAGCUCUAGAUUGAUUCCAGCUCUAGGCUGAUCCUGGCUCCAGGCUGAUCCCAGCUCCAGGAUGAUCCCAGCUCCAGGCUGCCACCUGCACUCUAACCCCUGUUCCCACAGGAAAUGUGGCUCUAACCCAUAAUGAGCUUCAGACUAAGCAAAAAAUUUAAAAUAAAGGCCUUUUCCCACCCUAA